CUGCCCUCGAGGGGCCUAGAGCCCCGACGCGGGGUGGCUCGAGGCCCGCUGGUCGGGGUGGCGGAAGGCGAGCCGUUCUCCCCGUGGGGUAAGCCCUUUUGAUGUUGCGGUCUUUGUCCCCCCAUUCUUUCACCUUUCCUCACAUGCCGACUUUUUCUCAGGCUGAAACGGACCCUCGAGCAGGCCCAACCGUCAAUGGCCAAGAGGCUCAGAACGGGUGCCGCCUCCACGGAACCAGGUUCGUAGUUAAUUCCUGGGUGUCGCGAUAUUCUUACGUUGGUUAUCAUAACGUCUGACCCUU
RNAcentral lists this long non-coding RNA (301 nucleotides) under Sorghum bicolor (sorghum). RNAcentral describes it as "long non-coding RNA (SBIC_LNC014283)". The record is from RNAcentral. Lineage: Eukaryota; Viridiplantae; Streptophyta; Magnoliopsida; Poales; Poaceae.